UGGAUGACCACAGGUGCAGACCUCAAUUAAAAUCCAUAUUAAGUAAUUCCACUUUUUCUUGUAAUGUUGACUUUUCUCUGCUUGGGAGCACUUCCAGCAUCACUAGUGGGACUUUGUAUGGGUAUUGCGACAGCCAGGUAAGAGGGUGUGAUGGUUAAUACUGAGUGUCAACUCGAUUUGAUUGAGGGAUACAAAGUAAUAAUCCUGAGUGUGUCUGUGUGGGUGUUGUAAAAAAAGACUAACAUUUGAGUCACUGGGCUGGGAAAGACAGAUCCACCUUAAUCUGGUGGGCACAAUCUAAUAAGCUUCCAGCAAAUAUAAAGAAAGAAGAAAAAUGUGAAAAGGAGAGAUGGGCCUAACCAACAGCCAACAUCUUUCUCCUAUGUUUGAUGUUUCCUGACUGCAAACAUCAAACUCCAUGUUCUUCAGUUUUGGAACUCGGACUGGCUCUUCUUGCUCCUCAGCUUGAAGACAGCCUAUUGUGGGACCUUGUGAUUGUGUUAAGAAAGGAGUUACAGUGUUUGUUGGCUGGGGUGAUUGACCCGGACUGUCAAGAUGAACUCAGUCUACUACACUACAAUGGAGGUAAGGAAGAGUAUGCAUGCAAUACAGGAGAUCCAUUAGGGCGUCUCUUAGUAUUAUUAUGCCAUGUGAUUAAGGUCAAUGGGAAACUGUAAUAACCCAAUCCAGGCAGGACUACAAAUGACCCAGACCCUUCAGGAAUGAAGGUUUGGGUCACUCCACCAGGAAAAAAUAAAAAUCCCAGUCUGCUGAGGUGCUUGCUGAAGGCAAAGGAAAUACAGAAUAGGUAGUAGAAGAAGGUAGUCAUCAAUACCAGCUACGACUGCAUGACCAACUGCACAAAUGAGGACUGUAACUGUCAUGAAUAUUUUCUCCUUUUUUUGUGAAAAACAUUUGUGCAUGUAUACACUUGUACUAAGAAAAUGCCUUCAUUUUAUUUCCUUUUCCUUUAUCAUGUGAUAUAAGAUUUAUUUACUUCAUAUUUACUUUAUGUCAUAGUAUUUGGGUUGGGGAUUGGUGGAUUUCCAGUUGUAUGAAGGUCAAUUGCAUUAUGUUAGGCAUAAUUAAGACCUUAUUAUUGUCUCUAUUUGAAGAUUAUGCAUGAUCUCAGGAGUUGUAUAUGGGGUCAAGUUGACAAGGGGUGGACUUGUGAUGGUUAAUACUGAGUGUCAACUUGAUUGGGUUUAGGGAUACAAAGUAUUAAUCCUUGCUGUGUUUGUAUGGGUGUUGCCAAAAGAGAUUAGCAUUUGAGUCAGUGGGCUGGGGAAGGCAGAUUGAUCCUUAGUCAGGUGGGCACAAUCCAAUCAGCUUCCAGCAAAUAUAAAACAGGCGGAAAAACAUAAAAAGGAGAGAUGGACCUUGCCUCUCAGCCUACAUCUUUCUCCUGUGCUGAAUGCUUCCUGCCCUUGAACACUGGACUCCAAGUUCUUCAGUUUCAGGCUCGGACUGGCUCUCCUUGUUCCUCAGCUUGCACACCAGCCUAUUGUGGAACCUUGUGAUUAUGUAAGUUAAUAAACUCUCCUUUAUAUAUCCUAUUAGUUCUGCCCUUCUAAGAAAACUCUAACUAUCCCAGAGGAGCUCCCCAUAAAAAUUCAACCUGCCUGCACACUGGGGUAGAGCCACAGAGGUUUGAACCCUUUCCAGUGGGGAGGAGCCUCUGGCCCCUGUCUGGAAGCUGGGAUUCAAGCUACAGGCAGGAAGCAUUCUAGCAGGGAUUCUGGCCCAGCUAGAAUUCCUUUUUCCCCUUUUCUUCCUCUCCACUCAGUAAAACCCUGUCUUACUCGCUAUUCAAGUUGUCUAGGAGCCUGAAUGUUUGUGGCCGUAGUACAAAGAACCCCAUCUUUCGCUGAAUUAAGGAAAACUCCUGCAAUAGUAUCAUCAUGAUGAGUCAAGGUUUACAAUAUUGCACUAAACACAAAGAAAAAUAUGUGAGAAC
Callithrix jacchus (white-tufted-ear marmoset) is the source of this 1957-nucleotide long non-coding RNA. The record is from Ensembl. NCBI's taxonomy places the organism in Eukaryota, Metazoa, Chordata, Mammalia, Primates, Cebidae.